GGGGCUGUCCUGGUUUCGACGUGGGUACGGAUCUGGAGUGGUGCAUGCCGAGCUUGAGUCACGCUCGUAAAUCUCGAUUCACUAAACUAACUGCAAACGACGAUCGUUUCGCACUCGCCGCCUAAAUCCGGCGAGACUUGCAACAGCACGCUGAUGGGCUGGGCCAAUACCGCAAGGUAGAAGCUGCAAGUUAAUUCACAUCAGCUAGCUGGCAGCCGGGUGCCUUGGCCGCUGGCGAAAUCCAAGGGCACUGGCCUGAAGCGCAGCGUGCGGCUGCGCGGCGCCUCAGGCGAGAUCAAACCAGACCGCUAAGCAUGUAGAGCUGCCCGGCAAAGGCUUGCGGACGCGGGUUCAAUUCCCGCCAGCUCCACCA
This 373-nucleotide transfer-messenger RNA is filed under the name Burkholderiales. RNAcentral's name for it is "Lampropedia schreckenbergeri Standard tmRNA". It matches the Rfam family "transfer-messenger RNA". From Rfam's summary of the family: Bacterial tmRNA, also known as 10Sa RNA or SsrA, is named for its dual tRNA and mRNA-like properties. Its role is to liberate the mRNA from a stalled ribosome. To accomplish this part of the tmRNA is used as a reading frame that ends in a translation stop signal. The record is from RNAcentral. Lineage: Bacteria; Pseudomonadati; Pseudomonadota; Betaproteobacteria. RNAcentral also lists the same sequence under 1 other name.